This is a non-coding RNA of Ictidomys tridecemlineatus (thirteen-lined ground squirrel), 72 nucleotides long. The record is from Rfam. NCBI's taxonomy places the organism in Eukaryota, Metazoa, Chordata, Mammalia, Rodentia, Sciuridae.
AGGGAUGUAGCUCAGUUGGUCAAGUGCUUGCCUCACAUGCAAAGGCCCUGGGUUCAAUCCCCAGCACCUCAG